This 305-nucleotide ribosomal RNA is filed under the name uncultured bacterium. Its description in RNAcentral is "bacterial SSU rRNA". It matches the Rfam family "Bacterial small subunit ribosomal RNA", at positions 335 to 658 of the family's 1533-position model. The record is from RNAcentral.
GCCCUACGGGGGGCAGCAGUGGGGAAUAUUGCACAAUGGGGGGAACCCUGAUGCAGCAAUGCCGCGUGGGUGAAGAAGCACUCCGGUGCGUAAAGCCCUGUCAGCAGGGAAGAAAAUGACAGUACCUGACCAAGAAGCCCCGGCUAACUACGUGCCAGCAGCCGCGGUAAUACGUAGGGGGCAAGCGUUAUCCGGAUUUACUGGGUGUAAAGGGAGCGUAGGCGGCUGUGUAAGCCAGAAGUGAAAGCCCGAGGCUCAACCACGGGACUGCUUUUGGAACUACAUGGCUUGAUUGCAGGAGAGGG